GCCUAACCAUAAAAUACAAUUAAACCACCAAAUUGUCCGCCAAACAACUACGAGUUAUACUUAAAACUUAAAAGACUUGACGGUGCUUCACCACGCCCUAGAGGAGCCUGUCUAGUAACCGAUAAUCCACGAUUAACCCAGCCCCCUCUCGCCCAACAGUCUAUAUACCGCCGUCGCCAGCUUACCUUGUAAAAGAAAUAAAGUGAGCCAAAUAGCACUACACUUAAACGACAGGUCGAGGUGUAACUAAUGAGGGGGACUAAGAUGGGCUACAUUCUCUAUCCGAGAAUACGAACAAUACUAUGAAAUUAGCAUUAAAAGGCGGAUUUAGCAGUAAGAUAAGAAUAAAAUACUUAACUGAACAUAACGCAAUGAAGUGCGCACACACCGCCCGUCACCCCUGCCACCACAAAAUACACUUUUAUAAACAACCAAAAAAAUUAAAAUCAGGGCAAGUCGUAACAUGGUAAGUGUACUGGAAAGUGUACUUU
RNAcentral lists this ribosomal RNA (491 nucleotides) under Crotalus intermedius. Its description in RNAcentral is "partial 12S ribosomal RNA". The record is from RNAcentral. Lineage: Eukaryota; Metazoa; Chordata; Lepidosauria; Squamata; Viperidae.